RNAcentral lists this ribosomal RNA (2864 nucleotides) under Corbierea radiosa. RNAcentral describes it as "LSU rRNA". It matches the Rfam family "Bacterial large subunit ribosomal RNA", at positions 22 to 2644 of the family's 2925-position model. Lineage: Eukaryota; Viridiplantae; Chlorophyta; Chlorophyceae; Chlamydomonadales; Chlamydomonadaceae. The record is from RNAcentral.
CGGCGGAGACCUAGGCACCCANNNNNNNNNNNNNNNGCAGAUACCGGCGAAACGCUCUGGGGAGCUGGCAACAAGCUUUGAUCCGGAGAUCCCCGAAUAGGGCAACCACUAGAACGUCCUAUGAGAUUCAUACUUAGGAAAGAGGCAACCCGGUGAACUGAAACAUCUAAGUAGCCGGAGGAAAAGAAAGCAAAAGCGAUUCCCGGAGUAGCGGCGAGCGAAAAGGGAACAGCCUAAACCGAUGCCUAACGGCGCGGGGUAGAGGGAGGACUGUUCUAUGAAAGGCUUAGCUCUGCUAGCCUUUCAACUUUGAAAAGCAAUAUCACGAGGUUCGCCUGCACUUCCCCUUACGGGUUGAAAAGCAAAGCUUUUCUUAGUGCAAGCGAACCCGUAAGGGAGCUUUUCAAGGAUUGUUUUAUUAAACUCUUGUAGACGAAGCAGCUGAAUCCUGCACCAUAGAUGGUGAAAGUCCAGUAGUCAAAAAAAAGAUAAACAAUUGUCUGAUCCCGAGUAGCAUGGGGCACGUGAAAUCCCGUGUGAAUCUGCGAGGACCACCUCGUAAGGCUAAAUACUACUGAGUGACCGAUAGCGAAAUAGUACCGCGAGGGAACGGUUAAAUAGAACCCCCGUAGGGAGUGAAAUAGAACAUGAAACCGUUCGCUGACAAGCAGUGGGAGGGGUUAGACCCUGACCGCGUGCCUGUUGAAGAAUGAGCCGGCGACUUAUAAUAAGUGGCAAGGUUAAGGAUAUUUCUCCGGAGCCUAAGCGAAAGCAAGUCUGAAUAGGGCAAAAUCAGUCACUUAUUAUGGACCCGAACCCGGGUGAUCUAAUCCUUUCCAGGAUGAAGUUUGGGUCACACCAAAUGGAGGUCCGAACCGACUGAUGUUGAAAAAUCAGCGGAUGAGUUGGGAUUAGGGGAGAAAUUCCAAUCGAACUCGGAGCUAGCUGGAUCUCCCCGAAAUGCGUUGAGGCGCAGCGGCGACGAAGAGCUCUCUAGGGGUAAAGCACUGUUUCGAUACGGGCUGCGAAAGCGGUACCAAGUCGUGGCAAACUCAGAAUACUAGAGAAUGCAUUCCGUGAGCCAGUGAGACUACGGGGGAUAAGCUCCGUAUGUCAAGAGGGAAACAGCCCAGAUCACCAGAUAAGGCCCCAAAAUGGUCACUAAGUGGAAAAGGAUGUGAGAAUGCUUAAACAACCAGGAGGUUCGCUUAGAAGCAGCUAUCUUCCUUGAAAGAGUGCGUAAUAGCUCACUGGGAAAGCGUUCUUGCGCCGACAAUGGCCGGGACUAAGUGACCUGCCGAAGCUGUGAGAUUUCCAAAAACGACUGGAUCUAAUAAAAUCUUUUCUUACCGAGGACUACGUCCUCUUGCGGUAAGCGGAGCUAACCUGUAAAGGAGCUAACUUGCUAAGGUAAAAGAAAAGUCAAGUCCAGUUUUUAUUUAGGGGAUUCGGUAGGGGAGCGUUCCGCUAUCGGGUGAAUCUUGCACGUAAGUGUGGGUGGACGAAGCGGAAGUGAGAAUGUCGGCUUAAGUAACGAAAACAUUGGUGAGAAUCCAAUGCCCCGAAAACCUAAGGGUUCCUCCACUAGGCUCGUCCAUGGGGGGUUAGUCAGGACCUAAGACUAGGCCGAAAGGCGUCGUCGAUGGAAAACAGGCGAAUAUUCCUGUACUGAUUCUGUUGGGAACCGAAGGACGAAGUAGGCUAAACUGGAACUGCUAGUGGAUAACAGUGGAAGCAUUCAAGACGUUAAAAGGUAGAAAAAAAACUAUCCUUGAGUUGAGGUGUGAUCCUUCAUGCCUUUGAAAAAGGGCAUGGACCAGUUGAUGUCAAACUUCCAAGAAAAGCUCGAACACCAUUCAACAACAGAAUCACCUGUACCUGAAACCGACACAGGUAGGUUGGUAGAGAAUACUAAGGGGCGCGAGAUAACUCUCUCUAAGGAACUCGGCAAACUAGCCCCGUAACUUCGGGAGAAGGGGCGCCCUCACGAGGGUUGCAGUGACCAGGCCCAGGCGACUGUUUACCAAAAACACAGGUCUCCGCAAAGUCGUAAGACAAUAUAUGGGGGCUGACGCCUGCCCAGUGCCGGAAGGUUAAGGAAGUUGGUUAUGGCGUAAGUCAAAAGCUGACGACCGAAGCCCCGGUGAACGGCGGCCGUAACUAUGACGGUCCUAAGGUAGCGAAAUUCAUUGACAGGUAAGUUCUGUCCUGCACGAAAGGCGUAACGAUCUGGGCGCUGUCUCAGAGAGAGACUCGGUGAAAUAGACUUGUCCGUGAAGAUGCGGACUACCUGUACCCGGACAGAAAGACCCUAUGAAGCUUGACUGUAUCCUGGAAUAGGGUUUGGGCUCUUCUUGCGCAGCCUAGGUGGGAGGCUUUGAAGAUUUCCUUCUGGGGAAAUUGGAGCCAUCAUUGAGAGACCACUCUGGAAGAGCUAGAAUCCUAAUGGCGUUCCUUUAACAGGACGCUUACGGUUUCAGGUGGGCAGUUUAUCUGGGGCGGAUGCCUCAUAAAAAGUAACUGAGGCGUGCAAAGGUUCUCUCAGCCUGAAUGGAAACUAGGUAUGGAGUGCAAAAGCAUAAGAGAGCUUGACUGCAAGACCUACAAGUCGAGCAGGUACGAAAGUAGGCUUUAGUGAUCCGACGGUGCCGAGUGGAAGGGCCGUCGCUCAACGGACAAAAGUUACUCUAGGGAUAACAGGCUGAUCUUCCCCAAGAGUUCACAUCGACGGGAAGGUUUGGCACCUCGAUGUCGGCUCAUCACAUCCUGGGGCGGUAGUACGUCCCAAGGGUUGGGCUGUUCGCCCAUUCAAGUGGUACGUGAGCUGGGUUCAAAACGUCGUGAGACAGUUCGGUCCAUAUCCG